GGGGAAUAUUGGGCAAUGGGCGAAAGCCUGACCCAGCAACGCCGCGUGAAGGAAGAAGGCCCUCGGGUUGUAAACUUCUUUUAUUCGGGACGAAACAAAUGACGGUACCAUAGGAGGAAGCCCCGGCUAACUACGUGCCAGCAGCCGCGGUAAUACGUAGGGGGCAAGCGUUAUCCGGAAUUACUGGGCGUAAAGGGUGCGUAGGCGGUUUAUCAAGUCAGGGGUGAAAGGCUACGGCUCAACCGUAGUGAGCCUCUGAAACUGGUGAACUUGAGUGUAGGAGAGGAAAGUGGAAUUCCCAGUGUAGCGGUGAAAUGCGUAGAUAUUGGGAGGAACACCAGUGGCGAAGGCGACUUUCUGGACUACAACUGACGCUGAGGCACGAAAGCGUGGGGAGCAAACA
Molecule: ribosomal RNA, 403 nt
Filed under: uncultured Acetoanaerobium sp.
Lineage: Bacteria; Bacillati; Bacillota; Clostridia; Peptostreptococcales; Filifactoraceae
Description: bacterial SSU rRNA
Rfam family: Bacterial small subunit ribosomal RNA
Source: RNAcentral